RNAcentral lists this ribosomal RNA (604 nucleotides) under Sphingomonadales bacterium Ri2Pw_6087. RNAcentral describes it as "bacterial SSU rRNA". It matches the Rfam family "Bacterial small subunit ribosomal RNA", at positions 413 to 1030 of the family's 1533-position model. Lineage: Bacteria; Pseudomonadati; Pseudomonadota; Alphaproteobacteria; Sphingomonadales. The record is from RNAcentral.
GGCCAAGUGGUUGUAAAGCCUUUUACCAGGGAUGAAAAUGACAGUACCUGGAGAAAAGCUCCGGCCAACUCCGUGCCAUCAGCCGCGGUAAUACGGAGGGAGCAAGCGUUGUUCGGAAUUACUGGGCGUAAAGCGUACGUAGGCGGUUAUUCAAGUCAGGGGUGAAAGCCUGGAGCUCAACUCCAGAACUGCCCUUGAAACUAGAUAACUAGAAUCUUGGAGAGGUGAGUGGAAUUCCGAGUGUAGAGGUGAAAUUCGUAGAUAUUCGGAAGAACACCAGUGGCGAAGGCGACCCACUGGACAAGUAUUGACGCUGAGGUACGAAAGCGUGGGGAGCAAACAGGACUAGAUACCCUGGUAGUCCACGCCGUAAACGAUGAUUACUAGCUGUUCGGGCUCUACGAGCUUGAGUGGCGCAGCCUACGCAUUAAGUUAUCCGCCUGGGGAGUACGGUCGCAAGAUUAAAACUCAAAGGAAUUGACGGGGGCCCGCACAAGCGGUGGAGCAUGUGGUUUAAUUCGAAGUAACGCGCAGAACCUUACCAGCGUUUCGACAUCCUAAUCGCGGAUUCCAGAGAUGGAUUCCUUUCAGUUUCGGCUGGAUU